GGAAAACAAGCUUUGGACAGGGGGAGGGUUUCUGGGUGGCCCCAGCAGCCUCAGAAGGGGAGGGAGGGCUGUGGGACGUGGUCUCCAAGGUAGGGUUCACUGUCACCCUCUCCUCCUGGCUCUUGAGGAGUGCAUACACCUCUCCCCCUUCCCCACUCAGGCUGUCUGCCCUGUCCACUUCCCCUGCGGUAUCUACAGACUGACCCCAGCUCCCCCGUUGCUACAGAGCUCAUGGCUUCCUUCUGAGCGGGAAGACAGGGCUCUUGUAUAUAGUUCCUGCCUGUAGGCAUUCAUUCAUUAAUUCAUUUAUCCACUCACCCAUAGAGUGUUGAUUUGUCUCAGGUCUUUUGCUUUUGCAGGUCCCUGUGCCUGGCACAUUGUCUUGUAUUCCUCAGGGCUCUGCUUCCCAUGGUGCCUCUUCCAAGAUGCCUUCCCUGACUACCCCCAGCUAAUUUAGCCCGUUAUACCCUGUUAGCAACUGUACUGCUCUUCAUGAUAAAACAGGAUAGGCUGGUGCUCCCAGGGGCUCUCUCUAUAUGUAAUAGAUAUAUUAGCCCAAUGGGCACUCAUUUCCCUUCUCGUUUUCUUUUGGGAACCAUCCUUUCCUUCUCUUUGUGCAAUUUGUUGAUGUCAGCCCCAUUCCCCAGCUCCACGAAUGAGCACAUCACCCAGGGAAAGCCAAUGAGAGACGGCUGCAGGACUUUUGCUGGAGCUACUGGAACGCUGAGUUUUGUGCUGCCGUGGUUGCUUACCUGGUAGGCUGGCAGGCUGGCACUGCCGGGGGAGGAGAGGGCCUGCCUAAAAACGAAAUCAAUACCGGGGGAAGAAAAGGUGAGAGAAGGAGAGAUGUACAGUCCUGAGAUUGUUGGAGCACCUGGAUCCAGCCAUACCUGAAAUCCAAACUCCCUCCCGCUGGACUUUUUCACUGUAAGAAUCAGUAAGUUCCCUUGGUGCUUAAGCUAGUUUGGGUUUCCGUAGCCUCCAAGAUAACAAAGCCUCAAAGAUAUGCAGGCGGCCAAGCUUAGGUACUUUCCCCUUGAGGCAUGUGGGCAGGUGUUUCCCUCACUCAGAAGUCACGUCCCCUCUAGAGGCUCCUUUUCUACAAGGCCUGAAUGUUUGGGGUUCGCUCCACCUGAGGCAAAAAAGCAGAAGCAAAGUGUGAGGCCAGAGGUGGGGUGCCUACAGAAACAGCCAUGCGACCAGCAGCAGGAAGUGGGGAUCUGCAUUAUUACUGUGCUAACCCAUUUCCCCGCUUCUUGGUAGGCUGAGCCCUGAUGGUCUUAGCUUGUUUAUUAGCUCUGUCCAUGUGUUUCGGGGAGGUGUCUAAGCCAGUCAUAGUUCCCCAGUCUCCCGGUCAGUGACUGGUUCUGGAAGGAGCCAUGACUCACAACUAGACAAGAACAUGUGAGGGUAAGUCUGCUGGGAAGUGGUUAGGGGAGGUUUCUGGAGGAAAAUGGUUUUGCUCUUAAAAAGUAAUGCAAGGGAAAGACGCUUCCCUUUUCUGCCUCCCACAGAAAGUACGGCGGCAUGGGGAAACACCAACUGAUGGUGGGAUUUUGUUUUCUCGAACUCUUAGUCUAAAGCAGAAUCACGACAGAGUCUGUGUUUGGUUUUGCCCUCCCACCACGUGGGAGAAAAAAGGGGGGGGUGCUAAUAACACUCCCCUGGUUUAACAACAACAAAAAAACACCUCACAAAUAUUUAGCCUUUUCAAAAUCUACAUGCCCACUUAAGUAUUAUUCCCAGGGCAAUAAGUUAUUAAGUAAGACAAAUCAGAAUUACAGAUUUUGGAAGGUUGGAGCUGCCUUUCACAAGAUGUAGCAAUCUCUGAAGUCUGUAUGGCCUCCGAAAAGUAUUUGCAAGGGGAGUUUUACGUUGCCGAGGAGUGUCUGAUUUUCUGCAGCUGCAAAGAAAGAUCAUUUUUCUGCUUCUCUUUCUGCAAUUUCUUUCACCAGCACUUUGAAGAGCCUAUAAUCCUCAAAGCCAAGAGCAGGAUUUGCACUAAGUCCCAAGAGCAAACCCGGAGAGGCUAAACACUUAAAAUGUAGGGGGGAGACGGGCAGAGUAGGAUUUUAGCAAAAGGAAGUAUAAGGCUGUUGUGUUCUGCCUCUAGAGGAAAUGAGGGUUGGCACAGUGGCAGCUAUGUUGCCACCUUAAGGGAAGACACUGCCCACGUGCUAAGGAAUCUUCAUCCGACACCAUUGAACGUGAACACCGUUCACAAGAACACCGUUCAACGGGUGGGCUGACCGCUGUACAACCUCCCUACCUUGGUGAGAUUAGCUGUUUGGGAAAAUAAUAAAGGCCUUUAGUUUUCAAGGUAUUUGGAAUUUCUUGUUCCCUUACCUGCAGCCAGCAGCAGCCUACGUGAUACACCCAGAGUGCGUGGUACACACGGGACGGCAUGGGAACGUCAACAGUAUGGCCCGUUCGGUGCCCAGAGCACUGCCCUCACCAGACACGGUCCUGGCUGUCAGCGUGAGAGCCCCCCCAUUCCCUCCCGGCCCAGCCACUGCUGGCAUCAUAGUGUUGAUUAUGCUUUCCAUAUUCUUCAGAGGGGAACAGUCGUUAUGUUUUAAACUCUAACCACCAACCCACAAAGUCUGGUGAAGGUCACUCCCAGAACGUACGUGUCAUCGACCCUGAUAAUUUGACAGUGAAGGGGUUGGUAUGACCCGUCUAUGUGCCAGUCAAAACCCAGUAACCUGCCUUGAAGAUUUGCGCAUUUCAUUGUAUGCAAAUUUCACCUCACAAAAGAACCGUGGGGAGCCUGGGUGGGGUGGCUCAGGGCCCCAAGCAGCUGACUUCAGCUCAAGUCAUGAUCUGAGCCAGUUCGAGCCCCUCGUUGGGCUCUGGGCUGACAGCUCAGAACCUGGAGCCUACUUUACAUUCUGUGUGUCUCUCUCUCUGCCCCUCCCCUGCUCUUGCUCUGUCUCUCUUUCUCUCCCAAAAAUAAAUAACAUUAAAAAAAUUUUUUAAAAGAACCGUAAGGAUUGAAUUCUAAUUAGUGAUAUGGACGCCGAGAUAUUUAGAAGUUAAAAGUGCAGAUGUCUGCUUGAAAAUACUUCACUUUAACUCAUUUAAAAAUCCAGCAAAGAAAUCAUGUGGUUGAAUAAAUAGAGGAUGGACAGAUAGGUAUGUGAUAAAGCACAUGUAGAAAAUUGUUAACAAGGGGCGCCUGGGUGGCUCAGUCAGUUAAGCGUUCGAUUUCGGCUCAGGUCACGAUCUCGCGGUUUGUGGGUUGGAGCCCCACGUCGGGAUCUGUGCUGACAGCUCGGAGCCUGGAGCCUGCUUCGGAUUCUCUCUCUCUACCUCUCCCCUACUCGUGUUCUGUCCCUCUCUCUCUCUCAAAAAUAAAUAACAUUAAAAAAAAUUUUUUUAACGUUAACAAGUGUAGA
This is a long non-coding RNA of Neofelis nebulosa (Clouded leopard), 3398 nucleotides long. RefSeq lists it as uncharacterized. The transcript is spliced from 3 exons. NCBI's taxonomy places the organism in Eukaryota, Metazoa, Chordata, Mammalia, Carnivora, Felidae. The record is from RefSeq and is a predicted model, not a curated record.